This 458-nucleotide ribosomal RNA is filed under the name uncultured bacterium. RNAcentral describes it as "partial 16S ribosomal RNA". It matches the Rfam family "Bacterial small subunit ribosomal RNA", at positions 338 to 795 of the family's 1533-position model. The record is from RNAcentral.
CCUACGGGGGACAGCAGUGGGGAAUAUUGCACAAUGGGGGAAACCCUGAUGCAGCGACGCCGCGUGAGUGAAGAAGUAAUUCGUUACGUAAAGCUCUAUCAGCAGGGAAGAAACACUGACCUUACGGUCAGCAGACGGUACCUGAGUAAGAAGCCCCGGCUAACUAAGUGCCAGCAGCCGCGGUAAUACGUAGGGGGCAAGCGGUAUCCGGAUUUACUGGGGGGAAAGGGGGCGGAGACGGUGCGCCAAGGCGGGAGGGAAAUGCCGCAGCUUAAGUGCGGGACUGCUUUGGAAACUGGCGAACUGGAGUGCGGGAGGGGUAAGCGGAAUUCCUAGUGUAGCGGUGAAAUGCGUAGAUAUUAGGAGGAACACCGGUGGCGAAGGCGGCUUACUGGACCGUAACUGACGUUGAGGCUCGAAAGCGUGGGGAGCAAACAGGAUUAGAUACCCGGGUAGUC